Molecule: unclassified non-coding RNA, 171 nt
Filed under: uncultured Agaricomycetes
Lineage: Eukaryota; Fungi; Basidiomycota; Agaricomycetes
Description: sequence contains ITS1
Source: RNAcentral
UCGAACAAACAAUCUUAGACUAGACUGUCGCUGGCUGGCUUUUUCAGCAUGUGCACGUCUUUUCUAUGCUACCACUACACUACACUUGUGCACCUUCUGUAGAUCUUCGCAAGAGGAUCUAUGUCUUCCAUUCACACCGAUCGCAUGUCCACAGAAUGUAAUAAUGAAAUA